RNAcentral lists this ribosomal RNA (2900 nucleotides) under Klebsiella pneumoniae UCICRE 2. RNAcentral describes it as "bacterial LSU rRNA". It matches the Rfam family "Bacterial large subunit ribosomal RNA". Lineage: Bacteria; Pseudomonadati; Pseudomonadota; Gammaproteobacteria; Enterobacterales; Enterobacteriaceae. The record is from RNAcentral.
UUAAGCGACUAAGCGUACACGGUGGAUGCCCUGGCAGUCAGAGGCGAUGAAGGACGUGCUAAUCUGCGAAAAGCGUCGGUAAGGUGAUAUGAACCGUUACAGCCGGCGAUGUCCGAAUGGGGAAACCCAGUGUGAUUCGUCACACUAUCGUUAACUGAAUACAUAGGUUAACGAGGCGAACCGGGGGAACUGAAACAUCUAAGUACCCCGAGGAAAAGAAAUCAACCGAGAUUCCCCCAGUAGCGGCGAGCGAACGGGGAGCAGCCCAGAGUCUGAAUCAGCUUGUGUGUUAGUGGAACGGUCUGGAAAGUCCGACGGUACAGGGUGAUAGUCCCGUACACCAAAAUGCACAGGCUGUGAACUCGAAGAGUAGGGCGGGACACGUGGUAUCCUGUCUGAAUAUGGGGGGACCAUCCUCCAAGGCUAAAUACUCCUGACUGACCGAUAGUGAACCAGUACCGUGAGGGAAAGGCGAAAAGAACCCCGGCGAGGGGAGUGAAAAAGAACCUGAAACCGUGUACGUACAAGCAGUGGGAGCACCUUCGGGUGUGACUGCGUACCUUUUGUAUAAUGGGUCAGCGACUUAUAUUCUGUAGCAAGGUUAACCGUAUAGGGGAGCCGCAGGGAAACCGAGUCUUAACUGGGCGUUAAGUUGCAGGGUAUAGACCCGAAACCCGGUGAUCUAGCCAUGGGCAGGUUGAAGGUUGGGUAACACUAACUGGAGGACCGAACCGACUAAUGUUGAAAAAUUAGCGGAUGACUUGUGGCUGGGGGUGAAAGGCCAAUCAAACCGGGAGAUAGCUGGUUCUCCCCGAAAGCUAUUUAGGUAGCGCCUCGUGAAUUCAUCUUCGGGGGUAGAGCACUGUUUCGGCUAGGGGGUCAUCCCGACUUACCAACCCGAUGCAAACUACGAAUACCGAAGAAUGUUAUCACGGGAGACACACGGCGGGUGCUAACGUCCGUCGUGAAGAGGGAAACAACCCAGACCGCCAGCUAAGGUCCCAAAGUCAUGGUUAAGUGGGAAACGAUGUGGGAAGGCACAGACAGCCAGGAUGUUGGCUUAGAAGCAGCCAUCAUUUAAAGAAAGCGUAAUAGCUCACUGGUCGAGUCGGCCUGCGCGGAAGAUGUAACGGGGCUAAACCAUGCACCGAAGCUGCGGCAGCGACACUAUGUGUUGUUGGGUAGGGGAGCGUUCUGUAAGCCUGCGAAGGUGACCUGUGAGGGUUGCUGGAGGUAUCAGAAGUGCGAAUGCUGACAUAAGUAACGAUAAAGCGGGUGAAAAGCCCGCUCGCCGGAAGACCAAGGGUUCCUGUCCAACGUUAAUCGGGGCAGGGUGAGUCGACCCCUAAGGCGAGGCCGAAAGGCGUAGUCGAUGGGAAACAGGUUAAUAUUCCUGUACUUGGUGUUACUGCGAAGGGGGGACGGAGAAGGCUAUGUUAGCCGGGCGACGGUUGUCCCGGUUUAAGCAUGUAGGCUGAUUAUCCAGGCAAAUCCGGAUAAUCAAGGCUGAGGUGUGAUGACGAGGCACUACGGUGCUGAAGUAACAAAUGCCCUGCUUCCAGGAAAAGCCUCUAAGCAUCAGGUAACAUCAAAUCGUACCCCAAACCGACACAGGUGGUCAGGUAGAGAAUACCAAGGCGCUUGAGAGAACUCGGGUGAAGGAACUAGGCAAAAUGGUGCCGUAACUUCGGGAGAAGGCACGCUGGUGUGUAGGUGAAGUCCCUGCGGAUGGAGCUGAGACCAGUCGAAGAUACCAGCUGGCUGCAACUGUUUAUUAAAAACACAGCACUGUGCAAACACGAAAGUGGACGUAUACGGUGUGACGCCUGCCCGGUGCCGGAAGGUUAAUUGAUGGGGUUAUCCGUAAGGAGAAGCUCUUGAUCGAAGCCCCGGUAAACGGCGGCCGUAACUAUAACGGUCCUAAGGUAGCGAAAUUCCUUGUCGGGUAAGUUCCGACCUGCACGAAUGGCGUAAUGAUGGCCAGGCUGUCUCCACCCGAGACUCAGUGAAAUUGAACUCGCUGUGAAGAUGCAGUGUACCCGCGGCAAGACGGAAAGACCCCGUGAACCUUUACUAUAGCUUGACACUGAACAUUGAGCCUUGAUGUGUAGGAUAGGUGGGAGGCUUUGAAGCGUGGACGCCAGUCUGCGUGGAGCCAACCUUGAAAUACCACCCUUUAAUGUUUGAUGUUCUAACGUUGGCCCCUUACCGGGGUUGCGGACAGUGUCUGGUGGGUAGUUUGACUGGGGCGGUCUCCUCCCAAAGCGUAACGGAGGAGCACGAAGGUUAGCUAAUCCUGGUCGGACAUCAGGAGGUUAGUGCAAUGGCAUAAGCUAGCUUGACUGCGAGCGUGACGGCGCGAGCAGGUGCGAAAGCAGGUCAUAGUGAUCCGGUGGUUCUGAAUGGAAGGGCCAUCGCUCAACGGAUAAAAGGUACUCCGGGGAUAACAGGCUGAUACCGCCCAAGAGUUCAUAUCGACGGCGGUGUUUGGCACCUCGAUGUCGGCUCAUCACAUCCUGGGGCUGAAGUAGGUCCCAAGGGUAUGGCUGUUCGCCAUUUAAAGUGGUACGCGAGCUGGGUUUAGAACGUCGUGAGACAGUUCGGUCCCUAUCUGCCGUGGGCGCUGGAGAAUUGAGGGGGGCUGCUCCUAGUACGAGAGGACCGGAGUGGACGCAUCACUGGUGUUCGGGUUGUCAUGCCAAUGGCACUGCCCGGUAGCUAAAUGCGGAAGAGAUAAGUGCUGAAAGCAUCUAAGCACGAAACUUGCCCCGAGAUGAGUUCUCCCUGAGACUUUAAGUCUCCUGAAGGAACGUUGAAGACGAUGACGUUGAUAGGCCGGGUGUGUAAGCGCAGCGAUGCGUUGAGCUAACCGGUACUAAUGAACCGUGAGGCUUAACCUU